Molecule: ribosomal RNA, 324 nt
Filed under: uncultured eukaryote
Lineage: Eukaryota
Description: partial 18S ribosomal RNA
Rfam family: Eukaryotic small subunit ribosomal RNA
Source: RNAcentral
CCCUUAGAUGUCCUGGGCUGCACGCGCGCUACACUGAUGUGUCCAGUAAGCACCUAACCUAUUCCGAGAGGAGCGGGUAACCUUAGCAAAGCACAUCGUGAUGGGGAUAGAUUAUUGCAAUUAUUAGUCUUGAACGAGGAAUUCCUAGUAAGCACAAGUCAUCAGCUUGUGUUGAUUACGUCCCUGCCCUUUGUACACACCGCCCGUCGCUCCUACCGAUUGAAUGUUCCGGUGAGCUCUUCGGACUGCGCGGUCUGCAGUUUCUGCGUUCCGUGCGGAAAGUUGUGCAAACCUUAUCAUUUAGAGGAAGGAGAAGUCGUAACA